Long non-coding RNA from Plutella xylostella (diamondback moth), 122 nucleotides. RefSeq lists it as uncharacterized. Lineage: Eukaryota; Metazoa; Arthropoda; Insecta; Lepidoptera; Plutellidae. The record is from RefSeq and is a predicted model, not a curated record.
AGGAGAAGAAGCGAAAGCAGUCAAAACCGAAACAGAAAAAGAAACAUGAAUCGACUUCUGAAGAGACAAUCAAAAGCACAACCGAUCAACGCACUGAUCCCCUGCCGCCUCCUGCACAAACG